RNAcentral lists this ribosomal RNA (292 nucleotides) under uncultured bacterium. RNAcentral describes it as "partial 16S ribosomal RNA". It matches the Rfam family "Bacterial small subunit ribosomal RNA", at positions 505 to 796 of the family's 1533-position model. The record is from RNAcentral.
UUUUCAGCAGCCGCGGUAAGACGAACCGUGCGAACGUUGUUCGGAUUCACUGGGCUUAAAGGGCGCGUAGGCGGAUUCGCAAGUCCGGGGUGAAAUCUUUCGGCUCAACCGGAAAAGUGCCUUGGAUACUGCGAGUCUCGAGGGAGGUAGGGGCCGCGGGAACUUCCGGUGGAGCGGUGAAAUGCGUUGAUAUCGGAAGGAACGCCGGUGGCGAAAGCGCGCGGCUGGAUCUCCUCUGACGCUGAGGCGCGAAAGCUAGGGGAGCAAACGGGAUUAGAAACCCCCGUAGUCC